Molecule: ribosomal RNA, 486 nt
Filed under: uncultured bacterium
Lineage: Bacteria
Description: partial 16S ribosomal RNA
Rfam family: Bacterial small subunit ribosomal RNA
Source: RNAcentral
AUUGAACGCUGGCGGCAUGCCUUACACAUGCAAGUCGAACGGCAGCACGGGUGCUUGCACCUGGUGGCGAGUGGCGAACGGGUGAGUAAUACAUCGGAACAUGUCCUGUAGUGGGGGAUAGCCCGGCGAAAGCCGGAUUAAUACCGCAUACGAUCCACGGAUGAAAGCGGGGGACCUUCGGGCCUCGCGCUAUAGGGUUGGCCGAUGGCUGAUUAGCUAGUUGGUGGGGUAAAGGCCUACCAAGGCGACGAUCAGUAGCUGGUCUGAGAGGACGACCAGCCACCUGGGGACUGGCCCACGCCCCAGACCCCUGCGGGGGGCAGCGUGGGGGAUUUUUGGACAAUGGGCGAAAGCUUGACCAAGCAAUGCCGCGUGUGGAAAGAAGGCCUUCGGUUGUUAAACCUUUUUUGCCGGGAAAGAAGCCUUGGACUCUAAUACGGGCGGGGGAUGCCGUUCCCGAAAAAAUAACCCCCGCCAAACUACGCC